Molecule: ribosomal RNA, 32 nt
Filed under: Coleofasciculus chthonoplastes CHI
Lineage: Bacteria; Bacillati; Cyanobacteriota; Cyanophyceae; Coleofasciculales; Coleofasciculaceae
Description: partial 23S ribosomal RNA
Source: RNAcentral
GGUCAAGCUACAAAGAGCUAACGGUGGAUCUU